GAGAGCUUAGCUCAGUUGGUAGAGCAUCGCCCUUUUAAGGCGCUGGUCCUGGGUUCGAGCCCCAGAGCUCUCACCA
RNAcentral lists this transfer RNA (76 nucleotides) under Terriglobus aquaticus. Its description in RNAcentral is "tRNA-Lys". It matches the Rfam family "tRNA". Rfam says of the family: Transfer RNA (tRNA) molecules are approximately 80 nucleotides in length. Their secondary structure includes four short double-helical elements and three loops (D, anti-codon, and T loops). The record is from RNAcentral. Lineage: Bacteria; Pseudomonadati; Acidobacteriota; Terriglobia; Terriglobales; Acidobacteriaceae. RNAcentral also lists the same sequence under 1 other name.